RNAcentral lists this transfer RNA (64 nucleotides) under Velinus nodipes. Its description in RNAcentral is "tRNA-Gly". Lineage: Eukaryota; Metazoa; Arthropoda; Insecta; Hemiptera; Reduviidae. The record is from RNAcentral.
GCCCUUUUAGUAUAUAUAGUAUAUUUAACUUCCAAUUAAAUGGAUCAUAAUAAUGAAAAGGGUA